RNAcentral lists this ribosomal RNA (443 nucleotides) under uncultured bacterium. RNAcentral's name for it is "partial 16S ribosomal RNA". It matches the Rfam family "Bacterial small subunit ribosomal RNA", at positions 338 to 795 of the family's 1533-position model. The record is from RNAcentral.
CCUACGGGAGGCAGCAGUGGGGAAUAUUGGGCAAUGGAGGAAACUCUGACCCAGCCACGCCGCGUGAAUGAUGAAGGUCUUCGGAUGGUAAAGUUCUUUUCUAAGGGAGGAAGAAAGUGCCGGUACCGUAGGAAGAAGCCUCGGUUAACUACGUGCCAGCAGCCGCGGUAAUACGUAGGAGGCGAGCGUUAUCCGGAUUGACGGGGCGUAAGGGGUGCGGAGGUGGUAUGGCAAGUGAGUAGCGAAACCCCAAGGCUAAACGUUGGAACUACCACUAAAACUGUUGUACUUGAGUGCAGGAGGGGCAACAGGAAUGCCUAGUGUAGCGGUGGAAUGCGUAGAUAUUAGGAGGAACACCAGUUGCGAAGGCGGGUUGCUAGACUGUAAUUGACACUGAGGCACGAAAGCGUGGGGAGCAAACAGGAUUAGAUACCCGGGUAGUC